UUAAGCGUGAGGGUCGGUGGUUCAAGUCCACUUAGGCCCAUCUUUCAAUCAUCAUACAAAAGGGGCCUUAGCUCAGCUGGGAGAGCGCCUGCUUUGCACGCAGGAGGUCAUCGGUUCGAUCCCGAUAGGCUCCACCAAAAACAAGAUCAAUGGAAUGUUCUUUGAAAACUAGAUAACAGCAGAAGGGAUUCAUGAAGAAAAGCUCUUUUCACAU
Molecule: unclassified non-coding RNA, 214 nt
Filed under: Anoxybacteroides tepidamans
Lineage: Bacteria; Bacillati; Bacillota; Bacilli; Caryophanales; Anoxybacillaceae
Description: Anoxybacillus tepidamans partial 16S-23S ribosomal RNA intergenic spacer
Rfam family: tRNA (bases 62-134)
Source: RNAcentral